This 500-nucleotide ribosomal RNA is filed under the name uncultured bacterium. RNAcentral's name for it is "partial 16S ribosomal RNA". It matches the Rfam family "Bacterial small subunit ribosomal RNA", at positions 30 to 523 of the family's 1533-position model. The record is from RNAcentral.
AUUGAACGCUGGCGGCAGGCCUAACACAUGCAAGUCGAGCGGAUGACGGGAGCUUGCUCCUUGAUUCAGCGGCGGACGGGUGAGUAAUGCCUAGGAAUCUGCCUGGUAGUGGGGGACAACGUUUCGAAAGGAACGCUAAUACCGCAUACGUCCUACGGGAGAAAGCAGGGGACCUUCGGGCCUUGCGCUAUCAGAUGAGCCUAGGUCGGAUUAGCUAGUUGGUGGGGUAAUGGCUCACCAGGGCGGCGAUCCGUAACUGGUCUGAGAGGAUAAUCAGUCACACUGGAACUGAGACACGGUGCAGACUCCUACGGGAGGCAGCAGUGGGGAAUAGUGGACAAUGGGCGAAAGCCUGAUCCAGCCAUGCCGCGUGUGUGAAGAAGGUCUUCGGAUUGUAAAGCACUUUAAGUUGGGAGGAAGGGCAGUAAGUUAAUACCUUGCUGUUUUGACGUUACCGACAGAAUAAGCACCGGCUAACUCUGUGCCAGCCGCCGCAGUAA